This 504-nucleotide ribosomal RNA is filed under the name uncultured bacterium. Its description in RNAcentral is "partial 16S ribosomal RNA". It matches the Rfam family "Bacterial small subunit ribosomal RNA", at positions 30 to 523 of the family's 1533-position model. The record is from RNAcentral.
AUUGAACGCUGGCGGCAGGCCUAACACAUGCAAGUCGAACGGUAGCACAGAGAGCUUGCUCUCGGGUGACGAGUGGCGGACGGGUGAGUAAUGUCUGGGAAACUGCCCGAUGGAGGGGGAUAACUACUGGAAACGGUAGCUAAUACCGCAUAACGUCGCAAGACCAAAGUGGGGGACCUUCGGGCCUCACACCAUCGGAUGUGCCCAGAUGGGAUUAGCUAGUAGGUGGGGUAAUGGCUCACCUAGGCGACGAUCCCUAGCUGGUCUGAGAGGAGGACCAGCCACACUGGAACUGGGACAAGGUCCAGACUCCUACGGGAGGCAGCAGUGGGGAAUAUUGCACAAUGGGCGCAAGCCUGAUGCAGCCAUGCCGCGUGUAUGAAGAAGGCCUUCGGGUUGUAAAGUACUUUCAGCGGGGAGGAAGGCGGUGAAGUUAAUAACUUCACCGAUUGACGUUACCCGCAGAAGAAGCACCGGCUAACUCCGUGCCAGCCGCCACAGUAA